This 481-nucleotide ribosomal RNA is filed under the name uncultured bacterium. Its description in RNAcentral is "bacterial SSU rRNA". It matches the Rfam family "Bacterial small subunit ribosomal RNA", at positions 28 to 507 of the family's 1533-position model. The record is from RNAcentral.
GACGAACGCUGGCGGCGUGCCUAACACAUGCAAGUCGAGCGGAGUCGAUCGACGGAAGCCUUCGGGCGGAAGAUGGUUGACUUAGCGGCGGAUGGGUGAGCAACGCGUGGGCAACCUGCCUCGAAGACCGGGAUAACAGUCCGAAAGGGCUGCUAAUACCGGAUGUGGUCAAGGAUCCGCAUGGAUUUUUGAUUAAAGGGGAAACCCGUUUCGAGAUGGGCCCGCGUCCUAUCAGCUAGUUGGUGAGGUAAAAGCUCACCAAGGCGACGACGGGUAGCCGGCCUGAGAGGGUGACCGGCCACACUGGAACUGAGACACGGUCCAGACUCCUACGGGGGCAGCAGUGGGGAAUCUUCCACAAUGGGCGAAAGCCUGAUGGAGCGACGCCGCGUGAGCGAAGAAGGCCUUCGGGUGUAAAGCUCUGUCUGGAGGGACGAAGGAAGUGACGGUACCUCCGGAGGAAGCCACGGCUAACUACGUG